Molecule: transfer RNA, 73 nt
Filed under: Dipodomys ordii (Ord's kangaroo rat)
Lineage: Eukaryota; Metazoa; Chordata; Mammalia; Rodentia; Heteromyidae
Rfam family: tRNA
About the family: Transfer RNA (tRNA) molecules are approximately 80 nucleotides in length. Their secondary structure includes four short double-helical elements and three loops (D, anti-codon, and T loops). Further hydrogen bonds mediate the characteristic L-shaped molecular structure. tRNAs have two regions of fundamental functional importance: the anti-codon, which is responsible for specific mRNA codon recognition, and the 3' end, to which the tRNAs corresponding amino acid is attached (by aminoacyl-tRNA synthetases). tRNAs cope with the degeneracy of the genetic code in two manners: having more than one tRNA (with a specific anti-codon) for a particular amino acid; and 'wobble' base-pairing, i.e. permitting non-standard base-pairing at the 3rd anti-codon position.
Source: Rfam by way of RNAcentral
GAGGUAAAAACUCAAGUAGUAGAGUAUAUGCCUAAGAAGCACAUGUCCUUGAGUUCAAAUCUCAGUAAAGUCU